GCCAGCCAGCCAGGCUAUGAACACAUUGCAGGGCCUGAGGGCAGUACUGUGGACAACCUGCGCUGUGUUCACAUGGCUGAGCAGAGCGCGAGUGAGGAAGACUGGCACGCUGAAACCAAACAGGUGUAUGAUUCAGAGGCGUGAGCUGUGAAGGGUGAAUUUUUCUUAUACAAGUCAAUGUUGCUUUUGGAGCAAACAGCAGCUUGGAGCUGUCCCAGGAAACAUUUACACGCAAUGUGACUUUUUCCCUUCUGCAGCAGAAAUGAAUUCCUAUUGUUCCUCAGACAUUCCCAGUCUGACUCUGUUCUCGCUCUGGGAUUCAAGGUAAAUAUUGCCUUAAAAUCAUUCGUCAACAUGGCGACUUAGAUCUACAGUAAGUAACGCCAUCUGGAGUCUGCAUGUCGCUAAUAAGUGUCGUUCUGGUUUCGAACCGUGGUGUUUUCCUGUGAAGUCUGUGGAUUUUUCUCUCAUGAGUUCUCAGUUUGUGUGGGAGGCCUCUUCAUUUAGCUUCUACUGUCACAGCUCUAUUUAUUGAUCUCACGCUGACAAACACUCAUCACUUUCUGUGCGUCACGAGGAUUUUAUUUGGAAAGAUCUGUCCGGAAACUGGAGCAGAUUCAGAAACUCACCGUUUGUUACAUAAAACCCUUUAUUUUAAAUCAUUGUUAGUGUUUGUUUCUGUUUUAUUUCAUGUUGCAGAGUUAGUGACGCUCUCAGCUCUGAAUCAUUUCAACAUCAUCUCCGCCGUUCAGAUUAAAAAUCACUUUUUAUAGAAGUCAAGCCUGAUCAGGGUUUACAGUCAUGAUUGGACGAUUUUAGGUGCAAAUUAUCGGGCAGGAAAAUACACAAAAAAUCUCAUUUUAAGAUUCACCUCAGACUGCAGUUCGCCUGCAGGAAAGACUGUGAAAAGGUGACUCCGGCACCAGUAAAAGGAGAGUUAAUGGUCAACUGGAAUCAAUGGAAAUGAAUGUUUGAUUAGGAGAUGAUAGUUUUCUCUGUGAAGCUGCAAAACAGCCACCAAAAAACAAGUCUGGAAACAUGAUCAAUUAAUAAUUAAAUAGAUUAAUUUAAAAUGUAGUUUAAGUUUAUUUCUUAGAUUAUAAAAUAUUGGAUUUGUGCUGCUUUUUCCUACUAAAAUCACUGAAUAUAAAGAGUUUAAAACUUGGAUAAAAUCUGAAAUUAAAAGUAGUUUUAGUUGAAUUACCUGUUUUUAUUCUGCUGUGUAAAGGCGGUUUUAAUGUUUCUUUAUUUGGGUCUUUAAAUGUGAGUUUAAAGGCUGAAACGGGGUCAUCAUUUAACCGUUUGACUUUUCAGUCUUUCGAAUAAGUUCUUGCUAACCUGGGGGACUUUUAGUAAUCAACUUAUUGAUCGUAGUUCUGAGCCAAUUAGAUUACCUUUUCAGUAAUCUAGCUGUGUCCCUGUAUCUCUGCAAUUACCACGAUAGUAGAAAAGUGAUGGCACGAAAACACAACAGUGAUACCAAAGUGUUUUUAGGCUCGACACAGAGACACAAACAAGUGGGUGUUACUGUUUUUAACUUUUAACAACCGAUAAUCAAUGAGAGAUUAAAGUAAUAUUCACAUUUUAGAGCUCUGACCUGCGAACCCGAAGAAGCUCGGCGUUUAAUAAUCCGCUUUAACAAGAAAUCAACAGACCUCUGCUCACUCCGAAUACAGAAAUGACAGCGUGUCCCGGAGGAGUCUGUACAGAAGCGAACAUAAAUCUGGGCUGCACAGUCACUCCUUGAAGGCUGGACCUCGGGGUUAAGAUAAGAGACCAUGUUAGCGGUUAUUAAGUGAAAGUUUCCAAUCGAUAGCCGGGGAGACGUAAUCAGGGAGGGUUUAAUUGCAGAGGGGAAGACAUCUAUUCAGGUUAUUGCAGCAGCUGUCCAGAAAAGCUUCAUUUUUUCUGCUCCAGAGUCUCCCUCCAACGUCCGACCCGGGCUGACCCCCUGAAAGGCUGCGGCUCGCUCCACGCCGGACAUUUAGUGAUAUCACUUGGUGUUUCUUUGGUGACAUUUAUAUGAGUCAAACACUGACGCCAUACAUCGUGAAAAAGGCCUGUUUCCCGGCUCUAAAUCUCCCCCUUUAAACACAUAUAGUUGUUAUUUAUUCUGCUGCUGAUGCAUGCUGUAAACAUAAUGCUGACAACUCCACUUUCUGUCGUUGUAAAUAGCUCAAAAAAUGUGACUCUACACCUUUCUUUGUCACAAAAGUAGGAAUCAAGUGAGCACAGGGGAAAUGUUUAUUGGCUUUCCGGAAAGAAAAGAGAAACUUAUGAGUACAACUCUUUUCUUUUUUAUACGGCUCUGAAUUCUCUGAAGCAUUAACCUUUAAAAAUCAGAUUUACAUCUACAUUUGUCAACCUCCUCCUGGCAAUAAACACCUCAGAGACUCCAAACAUCUCCCAUGACCUCAGAAAAUAUUCGCUCUCGUUAUAUAUCAACCAUCACUUACAACUCCGGCUAAAUAAAUCAGUGAAUACAAUAAUUAUGCCUUUUCUCCGUCCUGUCAGGAGGAAAUAAAGCCGUCUGAUCCAGCACAAACUGAAGGGACUUUUGAAACAAUAUCCCCACAUUAAUCACUCACAUUUAUGCUGCUUUUUUACUAAUAAGACGCCAAUCAAGAGGAGCGGCCACUUCAGGAUCAGACCAGAGGGGUGAUCCUUUCUCUGUGUGUUUCUACAGAUGAGGUUUUAUUCUCUAUUAUUAUUUAAUUUAAUAUUAUUGUAACACUUUAUGAACAUCGCUCUAAUUUGUCAUGACUGAUUAUCACUUAUAAAUAAUUGUUAUAAAGCACGUUUGUCGAGCCUCAUAAAUUCAUCUGUUAGAGUUGAGUUUAUAUGAAAGUUUAUUUUUAAAUACAGUUCAAUCUCUUUCAUAUUUAAGCAUUGUUUUGAUUUAAAUUAAAAUAUUGUAGAUUCUAAUGAAUUGAGUCAAAACUAUUUUAAUCCCAGAUUGUAGAUAAUCCGAUAGUAGAACUAGAUGUCUGAUGUUACAAAGUGAACACACUGAAACCACAUGGAGGUGAUAUUUAGUGUAUUUAUCAGAGAACAUAUAUUUUCAAAUAAAUCUUCACCUUUUAGAGUUUAAUACAAAUCCUAUUGUGAUUUGUUGUUAAAUAAGUUUAGUGUUGCUUCAUGAGCUGAAAAUAGUUUGACCUAGAGGACCUUUAAUUUUCAUUUUUUAUGGAAAAUCCAACAAAACAGGAAACUGACUAAGACUUUAUUAGGCAUGUACUGAUAUAUUUAUACAUAACCUACUUUUAUGUCUGACCCUAACCCUAACCUGAACAUCAAUCAAUUAAUCAAUUGAUCAAUCAGACUUUAUUUGUAUUGCACUUUUCAUACAGUGUGAUGUCGUGCAGAGUACUUUACAUAAACAGAAAAUCAUUAAAAACCCUAAAUCACUCAUGUAUUAAGACAAACAGGCAAGUAAGAAUUUAGAAAUUAAGUAAUAAUAAUUAAAAAAAACAAUAAAAGUCAUGAUGUAACUUAUUUGAACAUAAUAGUUCUCUGUCCACGUCGUAAAUUAAAUUUUCAGUCAAGUUCAGAUAUUUUUUCUCAUUUGUUAGUUUUUUUAAAUAGCUGAAAAUUGUCAAAUACAAAUAUCUAACAUCAAUAUGAUCUGUUUCAUUUUUAGUGUAAAAUGUCUUAUAAUAAGUAUACAGCUUUUCUUAAAAAAAAAAGUACAACAUAAACAAAACACGACUGAUCAGAAUUAAAUCACGUUUAAUUGAGUCUCUGGAGCAGCGACAGUCAGACAGCCGACCAAUCAGAGCGCACUUUUCUCUCUUGUCACACACUUUGGUCUUUUUGUAGUUCACGCAGACUAAACCUGCAACAUGGAAACAAAUUGCUUCAUAAUUUUGACAAGAGCAACUUUAUUUUAAUAUAGCAGUUCGUAACAGUGUGCAGCUCAAAUUGCUAUUUUUAGGAAGUUAAAAAACUAAAUUUAUGGAAACAUUUAAUCAGACAGAAAUUCUGAUCCCACAGAGUGUCCUGGAUAAAAAGAUGUAUAUUACAUGACAGACUAUUGAUUAACAGUUUGCACAAGGACGAGACAAAAACAGCAAAAAAAAGAGAGUUCCCACUUUGUCCACAGGGGGCGCCAAAGACAGAACAGACAACAAGUUCCUCACUGGAGCUUUAAGACAAAAACAAAAUCUGCUGAGAUGAGUCUGAGGCCGUUCAGUAACCCUAAAAAAACCACCUGAUCCACUAUAAACACCCUCAGAAAACUGGAGCAUUUCCAGACCAGUUAAACCAGUUAAACCAGUUAAAGAGCCUCUGCUGCAUGAAUCUGUCUGAUCAUAAUAAAAAGAGUCACAUUCAUUCACUUCUGCUCCUGCCUUGUUCCAGCCGGCUCAUUUCUGGCUCCAUGUGCUGCCUGAUCACCAAAAUCCAAAGGCGACUCAUUGCGGGGAAUUUCCUGCCAUGAAAACGAUGAUGAUGAUGUGAAUGGAUGGCUGACGCCGUGUCAAAUCCAGUAGAUGUCAGUAAAUUGGAACAUAUGUUACUUAAACUAUAACAUCAUGAUAAUUCUCCUCCAAGAUGGCUCAUAAAACUGGAAUUUAUUGGGCUAAAUCUGGGGUGAUGAUAACAUAGAUAAUUUUUAAUGGAAGGUUAAUGCGGGAAUCAAAAGAUAAAAAUGGACCCUUUGGCCUUGUAUCAGCUGGAUCCCAGAAAAUCGGAGCGGUUUUUAUGCACCGUGGGGUGUUCCCCUUUCAUUACAUUUUAUAGCUCCAAGCAUAAAAAUAUACGGAACAUUUUCAUGGCUAAUAAAACCCCAGAUCUUUACAUGAUAAGCAGAAUGGAGACACUGUAGAGGAAAAAAAGAAAGAAAGAAAGAAAAAAAAAAAUAUUCCCUUUGCUGUUUGUCCCAGCAGAGUGAGGAGCGUGUUCAGCUGCUCGGGAGCCAAACCUCCUCCCAGUGGAGAGACUCUGCUCCGACACAAGCACCGAGCGCCUCCUCUAUUCCCACAGACGCACUUUUAAAAUAGGCCACAUUGGAGAAAACAUGACUUUUCACUAUUCUAAUAAAUGGGAGCCUGCCUGUUUAUUAUUAAUGACAUCCCAGCACACUUUUCAGAUUUGGUUGGUGUUACGCUCAGUGAGUAAUUUAUAUUCAUGCCAGCGUGAGAGCCUGCCUGUGUAUGCUUACUGUCUUUUUACUGUCAGCUCUGUGUAGUAGUGCCAUGAAAUUUUAAUGUUUACCAGGUCAGUCCUGACCUUCUUAAUCCUGCUGGUUAUUAAUACGCUAAAGCCAACACAGAGGAACAAUUAAUCAAAAACACCUCUUUUCUUCCCUUUUCCACCUUUCAUACAUAUUAAUUAUAUUCGGCUGCCUUGGGCUGAGGAGUGCAUUAACAUGUAUGCACCCUGGCAGAGAAAUAAGUCAAAAAGCGGCGCCGCUCUGCCCCCACGGCGAGGAGGUGCUUCCCCAGGAUUAGCCUUACGACAGCGGGCUGAGUGGCAGGAACUUGAACAUGACGGAGCACUGAUACACUUUCUUGUCCAGACAAUUAUCUGUGGCCUACUUUUUCAAGCUAAUUCAACACACGGACCCCCCAGGUUGUGUGUGAAGCCUCCUGGUGGGGGGGCUGCAGCGGUGGGUGUCAGUCACAGGAGGACCAGACUGCCCCGGAGCAAAGCUGCGGGUCCCGGCUCAGAGGGAGGAGGAGGAGGAGGAGGGGAUGAUUGAAAUAGAAGUUGAGAUGUAGGACACAUAAAUAAAGCGUUUUUUCUUUUUUCCUGGAAUACUCUUCCCUCUGCUCACAUUUACAUAAUACUCCACCGUGCGCACCAUCACUCCCAUCAGCCCCAAGGUUGAUGGAGUCAUGUGACCAGGCAGAGAGCAGCGGGAUUGGACGGUUUUAUCAUCAUGAACCCCCAAAACCUCGUGUUCACCACACAGGUGAUUUUUCCAUCUGUUGCAGCUCCGCAGUCGAAUUUUUGAUCUGAUCCGACUUUAUAAAAUACACAAACCAGUAAAAACACGUAAACAACACCGCAGGAACACUGUCACCUACAGAUGGAGCUCUAACAGACUUUACUCUGUGUGUGUUUUGUGUUCCUCGAGGGCCACCGUAGGCUGCCGUAAACUGUGGCUGUCUGCUGUAAUCUGGUUACUAGUGUUGGUGCUGGAAACCUUUGUUGACGUCCUCUUGAUGAUUUUUCCAUGAAGUUUGUCUGUUUGUCCCUAAAAUGAUAAAGACUCUCCCUCUUCAUCUAUAUGAUCAUAAACUGUGUGUGAGGAUAACUCAGUGUCGACAGGAUUAAAGCGCACAGAGCAGCUCUGAGCAGCAGAGACGCCGAGAUGACAUUUGUUCUUUAAAACAGUAAGCUGCAUGUAGUUGAAUAUUUAUUUGCAUUAUUUAUAUUUUAUAUAUUAAUGAAUAUAUAUUUAGCCUGAUAGAGAAAUCAGCAUCUUCAGAAUUAAACAUAAAAUAAUCUCAUUUAUAUUUGAAAUGACUUUUCUGAGCUCCUGACUUUAAUAACAUCAAACUGUAACUCUCUUUUCUUAAAGUUAAACACAGAGUCAAACCUCAGAUUAAAAAGUACAUUCAGGAAUUAUUAGAUUAUAUCUUUAUUAUAUUUAUGACAGGUGUUGAGAUGUUCACAAACUCAAAGAAAAGCAGCUGAAUCUGUCUUCUAUAACCAGAUCUCAGAGCGAAAAACUUCAUUUUAAACCUUUUUAAUCGCUGAUUUUCUGCCUUUAAUCUUCAUUUUUUCUCCUCUUCUAUACAAACCGGUCAUGUUCGUCUUUUUCUGCAAAGAAAUAACUUGUUGCUGUGACUUUAACGCUCCUGACUGACGGCGGUGAUGUUUUAUAUUUGCCUUCAGUCUCUGAGGUUCAUCACAGAUCUUCACUCUCUAACUCAUCACUGCGUUUCCUUGUUAAAAAUACGAUCCUGAACUUCCUUCUCUCCUCAUUUAUGGUUUUCUUUAAAGCUCAUUUGAGGUUUUAACUCGUUAUAAACAGACGUGAAUUUGCACUGAUGCCUUUUUCCUUUUCGUCUCCAGAUUUGGUUGAAAGACUUUGCUGCAGGAAAAUGUGGAAAUCUCGGUGAGUUGGUGUCUGUAAAUGUUGUUCAGAGCAGAUUGAAGGUGUUGGAGGAGGAUGAACGAGGCUGCAGAUGCUUUGACUGAUCACUGUCUGUUAUGUGAACCCGUCUGUGUUGACAUGUUGUUUUAAAUUGUCUAAGUUUGUUAAUCCUGUAACAGAAAUGUUUUGAGUCUUUUCUGGUUAAAAACAUCAAAAAUCAAACAUCACACGUUAAAACUGGAGCAGCUCGGCCCUAAAACAUCGUCAUCUCUCUCUUUUUUCCAGGAUCAGGCCCCUGACUUCCUGGACCGCCGUACUCGCAGACUUCAUGACCUCCAAGCAGAGCUGGGAGACAAUGUGAGGUCUGGAUGAAAGGGCGUCGGAGAGCGACGGCGACCAUGGGUGGGGGCGAACAGGGGAGGAUGGGAAGCAGAUGGCAGCAGCUCUGUCCCAUCAGCACAACAGAAGGGGGACUCAAGAUGGCCACGGGCCCCCCCUCCUCACAAUAAGGGAGACGCCUUAUCAUCCCGCCAGCGUGAUCCGUUUCUAACAACAACCCCAAAACCUCCCUCCCCUCCCAGCCUCUAAUCACAGCGAACAGGAGCGGCCGAAUCAAUCACCAGGUACUUACAGAGUUACAUUCAAGUCCAGGGUGGCGCCUAUCGCAGGGGCCCUAAAAAUGAGAUCUAGAUGAGGAAAUAUAUUCUUCAAAAUGAGACGGAAUAAAAUCCGGUUUAAGAUGACGGGGCACGACCCGCCUGACGCGCCUCCUGGUCGAC
This 7824-nucleotide long non-coding RNA is filed under the name Xyrichtys novacula (pearly razorfish). Lineage: Eukaryota; Metazoa; Chordata; Actinopteri; Labriformes; Labridae. The record is from RNAcentral.